Molecule: long non-coding RNA, 576 nt
Organism: Macrosteles quadrilineatus (aster leafhopper)
Lineage: Eukaryota; Metazoa; Arthropoda; Insecta; Hemiptera; Cicadellidae
Exons: 3
Source: RefSeq, a predicted model, not a curated record
AGAUUUUUUACAAUAACUGUGAUCAUAAAACUGUAUUCGACUUGUUCCCCUGUACCCCUGUAACAACCGUAUUCUGCAAAAGGUUGGGAGCUGUUCUAGAACAACUAACGUUCACGGUUGCGCCCUUGCUCUGAUAACGAUAACAAUUGAUAAAAGGAAAUAGAAUAUUUACAACCAAAUGAUUUAGAAUGCAAGGAAUAUUCUUUGGUGUAAUUUUUGGGAUAUUGUUGAUUUGCUAUGAGACACUAACCCUCUUCAGGGCAGGGGUGGAACAAGAUUCCGUGGAAAAGUCCAACACAGAAACCGAAGAGGAAACUCGUCAAGUUUUACUGGAGGUUUAGAAUAAACCUAGUUCAUAAACUGUUCGAACAAAGCUCAAACUACCUUGAUGUAUUCAAGCUACGUCCCAAUGAGCUGGUUGUCGGAAUCAUUGAUGUGCUUUAUGUUUCUUAUCGAGUUACCACUGUCGAUAAUGGACAUAAGUAUAGAAUUGUUUAACUUCUUAAAGAGAAAUUAAAUAAAUAAAAAAAUUGUUAAAAUAUUAUUUGAAGAUUACAAAUAGUUUGUCUUUGAAAA